RNAcentral lists this ribosomal RNA (163 nucleotides) under uncultured bacterium. RNAcentral describes it as "partial 16S ribosomal RNA". It matches the Rfam family "Bacterial small subunit ribosomal RNA", at positions 355 to 511 of the family's 1533-position model. The record is from RNAcentral.
UAGGGAAUCUUCCACAAUGGGCGAAAGCCUGAUGGAGCAACGCCGCGUGUGUGAUGAAGGCUUUCGGUCGUAAAGCACUGUUGUAUGGGAAGAACAGCUAGAAUAGGAAAUGAUUUUAGUUUGACGGUACCAUACCAGAAAGGGACGGCUAAAUGCGUGCCAG